Molecule: ribosomal RNA, 427 nt
Filed under: uncultured bacterium
Lineage: Bacteria
Description: bacterial SSU rRNA
Rfam family: Bacterial small subunit ribosomal RNA
Source: RNAcentral
UGGGGAAUCUUGCCCAAUGGGCGAAAGCCUGAGGCAGCGACGCCGCGUGAGGGAGGAAGGCCUUCGGGUUGUAAACCUCUUUUAAGAGAGAAGAAGCUACUCGGGUGAAUAGCCCAGAGGGUGACGGUAUCUCUUGAAUAAGCCCCGGCUAACUACGUGCCAGCAGCCGCGGUAAUACGUAGGGGGCAAGCGUUGUCCGGAUUUACUGGGCGUAAAGAGCGUGUAGGCGGCCAUGCAGGUCCGUUGUGAAAACUGGAGGCUCAACCUCCAGACGUCGACGGAAACCGUGUGGCUAGAGUCCGGAAGAGGAGAGUGGAAUUCCUGGUGUAGCGGUGAAAUGCGCAGAUAUCAGGAAGAACACCAAUGGCGAAGGCAGCUCUCUGGGACGGUACUGACGCUGAGACGCGAAAGCGUGGGGAGCGAACAG